Molecule: RNA transcript, 3439 nt
Organism: Nasonia vitripennis (jewel wasp)
Lineage: Eukaryota; Metazoa; Arthropoda; Insecta; Hymenoptera; Pteromalidae
Gene name: calponin homology domain-containing protein DDB_G0272472
Exons: 10
Source: RefSeq, a predicted model, not a curated record
GACUAACUAAUUUCCGUCGUCAAACGAACGAAGACAAAAGCGUGUAAGUGCGCUGUAGGCAUUCCAUGCGGCGGGAAUAUAUAGAGGAAAGAGUGUAGACGACGAUGAAAGUCGAGAAUUAAUGGGCCAAAGUUUGAGCCGCGCUGAUAGCGUGUCGUGACACGCGGUGCCGGGCGGCGCACGCGAUAGCUCGCGCCCCGCGCCUGGCUCCGAUAGGCCGGCCCCAUUGAUUUUCCACUGGAGUUAGUCUACUCGACAGAAGAUCCACGGACGGACAGUGGAAGGGCCAUGGCGAUGCCGCUGAGCUGCUGCCAUCACUACCACGCCAUCAGCGCUUGUGGAUGGCGCGCUGGUUUCCCAUCGCAUUUCACUCGCGGCUGCGGUAGUGGUGUAAGCUCGUCGAUUCUACCGCGUUAUUUCCCUACCCUCGACGAACUUGCGACUAGGCAGCAGCUGCAGCGGCUCAGGCAGCAUUACAGGGGAAAGGCGACCGGCUACUCGGAGUUUGCCGGACUACAGUCGACCGGCGUAACUGAUAGGCCCAGGCGAAUGAAGACGCGAAAGUCAAACGGCACAUACAAAAUGGAAAUGAUAAGAAGAAAGUUUCCGAAUCACACGGAGAUCGCUUACAGAGAAGCGGUCUCGAAGCUCAAGUACCUGCUGACCGAGUCGUACGGGCCGAAAAUAGCUAUCGCCAGACCACUGAGCCUCGGUAAAAGGGCCUUCAAAGAGAACAUCCCUCAGCAUCAGUCAGAAGACUACAAGAACGGAGUCGACGACGGAGACGCUGAGAGUGUCAUAAGCGACGUUUCGAAGAAAGAUCCGUCGACUAGGAGCAAGUAUUACUCGUCCCGAUUGAGCACCUACCCUAUCGCUGACAGCAACGUCGAGAAACUGGCUGUACCUCCAGCUGAAUUAACGUCCUUUAUUCAGCGCCAGGAGGAGUAUAUCGAGCAGCUGGAACGCGAGUCCAGCUACUGCAGAGACAAGCUAUCCGAACUCGUCGAGAACGUCAGAGAGGUAAUCGCCGAGAACAAGGCCUUACACCAAGACAAGAACAAGGCAAGCUUCUUCAAAAACGUCCUCGAGGGUCACGACGACACUUGCGCAAAAGCCGCGGACGAUGUCAGACGCGAGCCAUCAUCCCGUCGUCUACUCGAGGGUCCGAGCAUCGUGUUCGAGUCUCGGAUCAGCGAGCUCGAAGCCCAGCUGACCCAAGCCCGAUUGGAAUUGCGCAAAGCUCGAGACGAGAACCAGGAACACCUCGAGCGCUUGGCAGAGCGAAGUAAGGACGGCGACGCGGCGCAGCUGCAUCUGGAGCUCGAGCGCGCUUUGCGAGAAAAGCGCGAAUUCGAGGCGAGGACGGACGAGCUGCAGCGCGAGCUGGCGAGACAGCGAGCGCGCGACGCCGACGUUGAAGUGAAGAGUAAACGUGCCGUGGAGGUCGCGCAGCAGGUCGAGUACGAGAAGGCGCAGGUCGAAGCCGAGGUGAGGAGGCUCAGGGAAGAGCUGGAGAGAAGACAGGAGAAGCUGAGGGAGGCGCUUCAAGAGACCAACAGGAGGAUCAUCGAGGAGAAACAGCAGGUCGAGAGAAGGUACAGCAAGGAGAUGGAACAGCUGUCCGCGGAGAACGCCUCCAACUGGGAGGCUGCGAGCAAGUCGCAUCUCGAGGCUGAGAAACAGAAGAGAGAGAUCGCCGAGCUGAAGAGGGAACUGCAGCAGAAGCAGAGCUUCAUCGACGAGCUGAAGAAGGAGAUGCAGAACAAGAUCUCCAAGAUGCAGGAAGAACUGAACGAAGCGCUAGCCGAGAAGGACGCCUCGCAGGAGGAGGUGGCCACUGUCAAGCUCGCAUCGGAGAGAAACGAGAGACAAGCUCGCCAGGAGCAGAGCAGGCUCCAAUCCGAGAUCAGCUCGUACAAGAUGCGCCUGGAAAGAGCUGACGCCGACCUGGUGCACGCCAGGCGCGAAAACCUUCGGCUUACCGAAGAAAUAUCUGCCCUGGAAAAAGAGAUCAACAUGAGCAGACUGGUGGAGGAGACACGAGUAGGCUCGCACCCGGUGAAGCCAGACAGACCCAAGGACGACAAGGACAAAGAACUGGCCUCUCUGAUCUUCGAUCUGGAGAACAAGCAGGCUAAAACGGUUGCCAGUCUCGAAGAUUCCCUGAACAAACAGGCCUCGCUCGUCUCGCGCCUUACGGCGGAAUGCCAAUCUCUCACACAGCGCUUGGAAGCUAACGACCAGAAACACAACAGGGGGGGUCGCCGACCAAGAUGAUAACGAUGCGAACAAUGACACGACUGAUGCCUUGCCUUCGCACAAGAAGCGUCGUGUUAAAGUUGAUCUCAAAGUUAAAGUAAUACCGAAAAAGAAGUCGGCUCAAUCGGAAACCCCCUCCAAGGAAAGAAAUGGCCAAUCUACAAAACAACAUAGAGUAUCUAUCGAAUAAAAUUAGGGAUUCCAUCGAACUCAGAGAACAAAACGCAGGAGAACUAGCUGAAACGAUCCUACCUUCCGAACAGACGCCUGAAGACAGCAACGCGCGUACGCACAAAGACUUCAACCCGCAGAUGCGACAAUCGUUUGAAAAAAUAAUCGACGAAGAUAUCUCCAAGAAAAGCAACGAGGAACUCGACGCGUCUUCGAAUUACGCUAACCGAUCCGUGGAAGAACAAAAUUACUCUGAGCAACAUCAGGAAAAUUACGAAUCCGACUAUGCUAAUCAAUUACAAUACAACCAAUAUAAUCAGUAUGAUCCUGCUCAGUAUCCAGAAUACUUCAACGAUCCGUCGUACGCGGAAAAUCAGGAGUAUUCACAAGAUCAGCAGUAUCUACAAAACGAACAGUAUACCAUAGAUAAUAAAGAAAAUUAUAAAGAGGAACCAUACAGCGAACAAGAUUACCAAAAUUAUUCCAGUGCACAAGAAGGAAAAUAAUUUACGUUUGUUUUUUUUACAACUUUAUGCAUAUCUGUUUUUUUCUUUUUGUUGAUUUUUUGAGAAUAACAUUGUUCUGAUUUGUCACGUUUAUUAUAUAAUAAAGAAUAUGAAAUUGAACAAUGCUGUGGCUUUUUCUUGAAUCGGUGCUACUGAUUUAUUCUGAAAUUGCACUUGUAUGCAAGGUGUUCUAAAUCAUAUUUUGGCGCCUUGAUACUAUAUCAGUACAUGCGCAAUGAAUAUAGCCACCAAUAUAGAGCUAUCUUCAGCUAUAUUCAGGUGUUUAGCGUAUACACACAGCAGACACAUCAAACUGCACUACCUUCAAAAAGAGUUUAUGGAAUAUAAACUUUAAAUAAGUACUAUUCAUCAUUUGUUUUUAGUAUAAUUAAGCCACUUGUGAUUAAGAAAUAAAGGAAUAUUACGUAAACGAUCAAAUAUAAGUAUGAACUUGACGAAAUAGUCGAUAAAUUUCUAACCUGUAAAUCAACAGAUACAAGAAA